This is a long non-coding RNA of Pipra filicauda (Wire-tailed manakin), 5550 nucleotides long. RefSeq lists it as uncharacterized. The transcript has 5 exons. Lineage: Eukaryota; Metazoa; Chordata; Aves; Passeriformes; Pipridae. The record is from RefSeq and is a predicted model, not a curated record.
AGACACAGUGAAGAAAUCAGUAACUUUUUCUGGUCUUUCUUUUCAAUGAGGUGAGGCUUGCCUGGUUUAAAUUGUCUGCUGCUUUUUGUUACACCUCUGGCUGCAGCAGGUGGGUCGAGCUUCUGGUGCCCAGCAGACCCGAGGCAGCUCGGGCGGCAGUAUCUGCACGGUGGAAGAGCUGCUCUGACGGUCGAAUCCGCAGGACAAAGGUGGAGUUGAGCAAAGGAGUCCUGCAUUCCUGUCAUCUCGUUCCCCUAUCCCUCCCUCCUCUUGCCUACGUGUCCACCGGGAAGUGAGGGCGAGGGUGUGGGAGUCGGGGUCUGGCGAGCGGAGCCAGCGCUGGAUGUGCCACUGGAUGUGCCACUGGAUGGCAGCAUUGACUAUGUGUUGGACCGGGCGGCACUGCCGGGGCCGGGCUGGGCUCUGGUUCAGCCUCGCUAAACAUCAGCCGGGUAAAAGAUUGAUUGCAAUGCAAAUGUAUUUAUAACCACUAGAGAUAGUCACCUUCCACCCCAAUUAGCCUUUGAAUUGAUUUAGUGAGAAAAACAUCUAUUAUGGAAUAAAAGUCUUAGAGAUUAGUGUUGCAUUAUUUCACUACAUUUGAAAUAGCUGUAGGUAAGAGGGUCUUACAGGCAUCAAUAAGCUUUAAUACUAUAAAGUGCUUUUAGGCUACAUCAGAAGCAAAUUACAAGUCGAAGGUUUGUUUGCUGAAUAAAAUAUAACUACAGGUAUGUUGGGUACGCUGGGACUUUGUGGUAUUUACAAAAUCUAGCUUAUAAAGUUUUUCUUUUCAUUCUUUUAUUUUUUAAAAGGGAUUAGUUCACUGGUUACAAAAAUGUGCUUCUUUCUGCAAGCUAACAGAAAUCAGUUAUGUUUUGAAGUUGUCUGAUUUUUUUUCUAUUUUCUGUUCUUUCCAAAGAGCCUGGAGUGAGAGGAAUGGUGGUGGCUCUUUCUCUGGAAUAUGAAUCUUAGGUACACCAUGAUGUCUGACUAGUAUUGCUAGGAAAGAAUCCAGGAAAGAAGAGAGUUCUCUACUUGAAAUUAUAGUAAGGAGCUGGUCUGGUUUAAUGCUUCUAAUUAAAAGACCUAAUUUAUAUCACAUUGAGUUUCAGUUACAGGUGAGAAAUGUUAUUUCUUUGAAAGGCAAAAUUUCCCUGACAUUUUAUAAUAUUGCACUGUUUUUGCUGCUUUGAUGUAAAUUAGCUUCCUUUCUAAGGAAUACAAUGUGAACAAACAACCUUUGAAAACAGAACUGGAGCUGUAGCUGGAUGCUUCCCAAUUCAGAUUCUGCACCUCUCACCCUCCCCCCUUCCCACUGUAAAAUCUGUGCAAGUCUUUGCUUUCUAUUUAUGUAUUCAUUUGUGUUUAUAUAAAGGAUGAAGCUUAAUGAAGUCUGUGCAGUCACAGCAGGAUCAACCACUGUGAGAUCAGAUGUGGCCCUGUGCUGUGUGUGAGAGCAAGACCUUUGAGCUAUACAGUUUGAAUAUUUAUGAAAUGGUUUCAGCAAUUAAUGAUAUGAAGACAGGAGUACAACACUGAGGAACCUACCCUGAUUGAGCUUUGUCUUGUGCCCUGAUUGGCAAUCUCAGAUGUUCUAAGAGGAUCUGCACAGACAGCUGAAUAUGGGAUCUGUGCCCUUUAUAUAACUGUGGAAAUGAAACGGAAUAGACUUGGACCUAUUGUUGGAAGGCAUUGCUAAUCCUUCUUUAAAUGAGGGCAAGCUGUCAGCUGUUCUCAGGGAUGUGAUGGUUCAGCCUCUCAAGAGAAUUUAGGAAACAAUACAUGUGGAGUCGCCAGCCUGAGUGGGAGAACAGGUGAUCAAACCAUAUAAGAAGAAUGGACUUGAAAACAACAAUACAGAGGUGCUUCCAAUUUGUGGAAAUGUAGAAUUUGUUUCCAUAGUAACUUUCAGACUUCAAGGCUUGUGGGAAGAAGACUGGUCACAAGUCCUUCAGAAGUCUGCUCCAGCACACCUUCCCACAGGUUCACAGCCUGCUUUCAAGCAUCCACCUGUUCUGAAGUGGGGUCAUCCCCGUGCUGCAGGUGGAUCUCCACUCUCCCAUGGACCUCCAUGGACUGCAGGGGCACAGCUGCCUCACCAUGGUCUGUACCACAGGCUGCAGGGGAAUCUCUGCUCCAACAUCUGGAGUACCUUCUCUCCCUCUGUGGCACUUUGUGAUAUGUUUGAGUAGGCAUGGGGGUAUGAGGUUGAUGAUGGAGGUAUUUUCCAACCUUAAUGGUUCUAUGAUUCACUUGGUGUCUGCAGAGCUGUUGCUUCCUCACUCUUCUCUUCUUUGGCUGCAAUUGUUUCUGCACAAAAAUUCUUCCUCUUCUUAAAUCUGUUCUCCUAGAGGUGCUACCACAGUCACUGAUGGGCUUAUCCUUGUCCAGCGGUGGGGCUGUCUUGGACCUGCCUGGCAUUAGCUAUAUUGGACUUGGGGGAAGCUUCUGGCAGCUUCUAAGCCACGCCUGUAUCUCACCUGUUACUGAAAUAUUGCUGUAUAAAUCCAAUACAUAUGUGCUUGAAAAUGGGAUACUUCUUUUUCUCAUCUUUGCCAGUUUAGAGAUUAUAUUGAGACACUUUGGUCAUCUUCUUUCUUUUGAUAAUUUUUGUUGGUGUUACCUUGCUUCCUUUGCAGCUUAAAUAUGUGAUCUAUGUUGCUUAACUGUUCCUCAGAUAGCGCUAUUCUUGAGACUUCCUUCUCCAAAAUAUAUUAUUGGAAUUUUGACUGGGGUAGCAUUAGUUUUUUUCACAGGGCAUAGUGUAGGGUUCUGUGUAUGGGGUUUAGUUGGCAGCUGGACUUAAAACAGAAUGAAUAUAUCAAAUAUUUUAAAAACACCUGAACAUGUAGUACUAUGUGCAUAUUUUGAAACCUGAAAACAUGAACUGAACACCUUUUUUUUUUUAGUGUCCAUGUAAUGCAGUUGGAACAUGUUUCUUAGGUAUGCAGUUAUGGUCAUGCUGCUGCUCAUAAAUGAAAUUUUGAAAUAUAAUGCCUGAUUCUGAAUUAAAAGUCAGGGCUGGCUAACUAAAUAAAUAAUUUUACCCCUUCAAGUAAUGGUAGCAGAGGUUGUAUCUUAGAGUGGGUGCCAGGCUAGGUACUUUGAGCACUCUAACAAACUAGAAAGCCAAGAAUAGAUGAGCAAAAAAGUUAAUAGCCAUACUUUUUCAGCACUUCAUUAUGUACAUAUCUGACUGUUAAAAGACCUAGAAGGUAAAAGGAAGACAGCUGUUUGUCAGUUCCCUUCAUUCCCACCAAAAAAUUGGUCCGUUUCAAGCAAAUUUGAACCCAAAAGUUAGACUUCUCAAUGAUAACUAAAUUCUUUCAAAAUCCAUGAAAAUCAAUGAAAAGAGAGCAGUGACGGGAACAGCAGGAAGAGUUCAAACAUUACCCUUUCGUGGGUACCAGCUUCAGCAAGCACAUGAUCCUCCCUAGUGAAGGGGUAGGGACUGGAAGGAAGAUCAGCUUUAUUGUUGGUAAAGAAAGAUCAGAGAAAACUGUAGGAAAAAGUCUCAAAAAUUUCUACAGGGCUUCUUGUUGUUUUCAGAUAAGGCUAAACAAUCAACGUUUGAAAAUUCUCUCCUGACAAAAUUGUCACAUGUGAGUAGUGUAUCCAUCUGUACACUUUUUGCUGUGUCCCCUCAAAUCAAUCCAGUAUUUGGCACUUUAAAUUUGUAGUGUUCCCAGGAAAUACUUUCUUUGUACUUUAUCAUUUGCAUCUAUAUCUGAGGUAUUUGCAUCAACAUUUUCACUAAGGAGCCAUCUCUUGUUUUGUCUGCAUUUCAAUCUGGUUGAAAGAGAAUGCCGUCUAAUCUGAAGGUUCUAUGCUCUAUUAUGUUUUAAAGUGUUUUGAUACCAUACCUGAUAUAUGCAGAUGCAUACCAACAAGAAGUCUCUGCAAGUAAUUUCACAUUCUUUUAGAGACAGAAGCUGGAAUAAAGACUGUGUCCUGGAUGGACAGACUAAAGAGUAGAGUCAGCAUUUAGGAAUUCACAGGCAGGUAAAGCACCUCUCCAGAAAAGAAAUCAAAAUAUAUCCAUAAAUCUAACUGUCUUGGUGCACAGUCAUGAUUUCAACUUGGUUUUGAAUGUUUAAAUAAUGGAAAGUUCUUGAAUAUUUUAAAGUAUGGUCACAGGUAGUGAAGAGAAGUUAUAGAAGAUAUUAGGUAUGGAAGUGCUGUAUACUGAUAUGAAAUGUAAUAAAUCUUUAAUUGGUUGGGGUUAUUUGGUGAAAAUCAGAAACAUUAAUGAUGUUUUUUCAAGUUCUGUUCAAAUUCUUUAGCCUUGAGAAACAGUUAUUAUUGUAAAUAUGUGAUUUGCUGUCCUCAUUGCUGUUUGGGUAGCUUUUCAUUGUUUGUCACUCUUGUGUAUCAUAAACAUGGGUAUUAAUUUUAAAGGAAAGGGAAUGGAGAUAAUUCACCAUUAUAGUCUAGAUAUUGUGUUGACAUCAGUAGGUCUCUGAACAGGGUCUCUGAAUUUUCAGGUCUCUCCUGAUCCAGUGUUAUUACUUCACUACUCCUUUCUUCUUUUUUACUCACCUCAAUAAAACAUUAACUUUUAAGGCACUAGUUUUCAUUUUACUGUUCAAGUAGUUGGAAAAAGCCCCUAAAAGAAAUGAAUGGUUAACUAUUGUAACAAUAAAGUAACAGUCAGACUUGGUUUCUUUGUGACAUUUGCUUAGCUCAAAAGCAAAAAUACAUUUGCAAUUAAGAGAAAGAAGUCUGUGAAAGAGAUGGCUACUUACAGAGGCUUCCAACUUAGUUUCUCAUCACUGAAUAGUAUUAUUUUGUGGUUGUAAACAAUGCUGUUGGAUAAUGAUUUUUCAGGUGGAUAGUCAUAUAUUAAUUUUUUGAACACUAAAGGGAAAGUAAAAGGUAAACAUUGGUUCCACAGGGUUGUUUGGUUUUUGUUUGGUUGGUUGGUUGGUUUGGUUUUAUUUUUUAUUUGUUUGUUUGGGGGUUUUUUUGUGGUUGGGUUUUUUUGUGCUGAUGUUCUAUUUUUUUUAAUGUGUUAUAUUUCUGGGACGAAGGAGGUUUCAAGAAAAGUAGUAGAUUCUUUCAAAUUGAAAAAUAUGAAAUGUGGUAAGAGUUUCUGGGGACCCAACUGUGAAUAAUCAGUAGUAGGAGCUUUGCCUGUCCGUAAGACCCAGAUUCGCUUCCCUGUAAGAGUCUAUUUAUCCUUGGGGUGUAAAAGAAGAAAAUGUUGACAGCAGUGCUUAAAUCAGUGUGGUGUUUUUUACAGCAGGCAUUUUUUUUUGCUUUGCAGAGGCGUAAUGGUCAUGCUGUUGUAUGGGUUUUUUGUUCUUGUCAUAUAUUAGAUUUUCCAGGUGAAUAGGACUUCAGGCACUGAAUUAACACAACAUUUGUCCAAGAGGUUAUGUAAGUUGGAAUCUUCAUUGAACAAUUGCAAAAUAAACUCACUUUCUCAAUAAAAGCUAGCUACCAGUAAACACUUCCAUGCAAUUGUUGCACAAACAGUAAUGAUCAUGCUGUCCAAGUUUAUGUCAUGUUGGUGGCAGAUGGCACGUAAUAAACAACCCACUGUUUUGA